This 512-nucleotide ribosomal RNA is filed under the name bacterium enrichment culture clone ALO1_GLFRUDD03G1WY2. Its description in RNAcentral is "bacterial SSU rRNA". It matches the Rfam family "Bacterial small subunit ribosomal RNA", at positions 9 to 517 of the family's 1533-position model. The record is from RNAcentral.
GAGUUUGAUCCUGGCUCAGAUUGAACGCUGGCGGCAGGCCUAACACAUGCAAGUCGAGCGGAUGACGGGAGCUUGCUCCUUGAUUCAGCGGCGGACGGGUGAGUAAUGCCUAGGAAUCUGCCUGGUAGUGGGGGACAACGUUUCGAAAGGAACGCUAAUACCGCAUACGUCCUACGGGAGAAAGCAGGGGACCUUCGGGCCUUGCGCUAUCAGAUGAGCCUAGGUCGGAUUAGCUAGUUGGUGGGGUAAUGGCUCACCAAGGCGACGAUCCGUAACUGGUCUGAGAGGAUGAUCAGUCACACUGGAACUGAGACACGGUCCAGACUCCUACGGGAGGCAGCAGUGGGGAAUAUUGGACAAUGGGCGAAAGCCUGAUCCAGCCAUGCCGCGUGUGUGAAGAAGGUCUUCGGAUUGUAAAGCACUUUAAGUUGGGAGAAGGGCAGUAAGUUAAUACCUUGCUGUUUUGACGUUACCGACAGAAUAAGCACCGGCUAACUCUGUGCCAGCAGCCG